This is an RNA transcript of Cornus florida, 8263 nucleotides long. It is a transcript of the gene named probable LRR receptor-like serine/threonine-protein kinase At3g47570, with no coding region annotated. The transcript has 4 exons. The record is from RefSeq and is a predicted model, not a curated record. NCBI's taxonomy places the organism in Eukaryota, Viridiplantae, Streptophyta, Magnoliopsida, Cornales, Cornaceae.
AGACAGGGUAGACUUGGGAAAAUGAUGUCGAAGACUUCAAGAAAAGCAUACGUGCAAAGUUCCAAAAUUCCAACUUCAUAAUUUCUAUAAAUUUAAGAUGAUCAAUAACAACCAGAUAUAAAUCUCACCCCUUUACCAUUUGCACAAGUGAUCUUUCUUGAUAGAUUCAUACAAGUGUUUCUAACUAACCUCACAUUUCUGAAAUCCACUUCCAGAAACGAGUCCAAUUAUGGCUCACAACUCCUUCACAAUACAAAAAGUAUAUUCCCUAGUGUUCAUCGCAUUGCUGCUUCAUAUCAUCAUGAAUAGUGGUAGUACCCACCCUAAUGCCACUGCCAGAAAUACUGUAACCAUUGGCAAAAAUGAGACAGAUCAUCUUGCCUUGUUGGCCAUCAAGUCAAAGAUUGUUCAUGACCCUCAAGGUGUCCUGAGCUCGUGGAAUGAGUCACUUCAUUUCUGCAACUGGGAAGGUGUUGCAUGUGGUCGUCGCCAUCGCAGAGUCAUCAGUAUAGAAUUAUGGUCCAGAGGCUUAGUGGGUUCGUUGUCACCACAUGUUGGAAACUUGAGCUUCCUUCGUGUAUUAAGGAUCUACAACAACACUCUUCAAGGUGAAAUCCCUCCUCAAGUUGGUCAUUUGUUCAGGCUGCAACUAUUGGACUUGAACAACAACUACUUCAAAGGAGAAAUCCCAGCCAACUUAUCCCACUGCUACAACCUCAUGUAUCUCCGCGUAGGUUUCAAUAAGCUAGUUGGGAAAGUUCCUGAAGAGCUUGGUUCAUUGUCAAGGCUCAUAAAACUAAUCAUUCACGCGAAUUACUUAGUUGGUGGGAUCCCUCGAUUCAUUACCAGACUGACUUCUCUUGAAUCUGUGUCUGCAGGUCAAAACCAUUUCACUGGUGGUCUUCCUGCUGCCUUGGGUCAAUUGAAAAAUUUAAAAGUACUUGCGUUUGGUGACAAUCAACUCUCUGGUACAAUCCAUCCUUCCAUUUACAAUCUUUCUUCUCUAACUGUUCUCUCUUUCGGUGUUAACCAGCUUCAUGGCACUCUUCCACCCAGCUUAGGACUGAUGCUCCCUUAUCUUCAACUCCUCGAAUUAGGGGGGAACAAAUUUACUGGACCCAUUCCUUUCUCAAUAUCCAACUGUACAACACUAGGAACCCUUACUAUGGAAGAAAAUAAUUUCAAUGGGAAAUUAGCAAUUAAUUUUGGAGGCCUCCAAAAUCUCCUGGAAAUUAUCCUACAUGAUAAUAAUUUAGGAAGUGGAGAGCCAGAUGAAAUGAACUUCAUUAAUUCUUUGGCUAACUGUAGCAAUUUUGAGUUGUUAGAACUUUCUGAUAACCAAUUCAGAGGGAUCUUACCCAAUUCUGUGGGCAAUCUCUCAAACCAAUUUUAUUUUCUCUCACUUGGUACAAAUUUCAUACAUGGAAAACUCCCUUCAGCAAUAGGUGAUCUUGUCAACUUAAAUUUUUUAAUUCUAGAUCAUAAUCGAUUCACGGGCCCAAUUCCAGCUGCUAUUGGAAAUCUUCAAAAUUUACAACGGGCAUAUCUUGGUACAAAUUCAUUUAAUGGAGAAAUACCACAAUCUAUAGGCAACUUAUCAUUGUUGAUAGAGCUUUACUUGGAUGAGAACAGAUUAGUGGGGAACAUACCCUUGAGUAUUGGAAAUUGCAAGAAAUUGUUAUUGCUUGAUCUUUCCCAAAAUAAUCUUAGUGGCACCAUACCCAAACAACUUUUGAGAAUUUCAACUCUUUCUAUUUCACUCAAUCUAUCUCGAAAUCGUUUUUUCGGAUCCUUACCUUCUGACGUUGGCAACCUCAUAAAGUUGGCAGAUUUGGAUAUAUCUGAGAAUGGGUUGUCUGGUGAAAUUCCAAAUAGCCUUGCGAGUUGUACUAGCCUCGUAAACCUCUAUAUGGAGGGGAACUUCUUUAAUGGAUCAAUUCCUCAAUCGUUGAGUUCCUUGAGAGGUAUUAUGAACUUUGAUCUUUCUAGGAACAAAUUGUCUGGAAAGGUUCCAAGAUUCUUUGAGCAUUUUUCCUUGAAGAAUCUUAAUUUAUCCUUCAAUGAUUUUGAGGGUGAGGUGCCGAUUGAAGGAGAUUUUGCAAAUGCAAGUGUAAUUUCAGUUGUUGGAAACAGUAGGCUCUGUGGUGGCAUACCAAAACUUCAACUACCAAAAUGCAACAUCAAAGAAUCAAAGAAAAAGAAAAGUUCUCUUCUGCUCAUAUUAGUGAUCUCAGUAGUGUGCACACUUCUGGGUGUGACAAUGGUAGUAUCUUUCUGGUUUUGUUGGGUUAAAAAGAAAAGAAAUGUUCCACCUUCGGGAAUAUUGUUGAGAGAAUCAUUCAUGAAAGUGUCUUAUGAAAUGCUCCUCAAAGCUACUGGCGGGUUCUCUUCAACAAAUUUGAUUGGUGUGGGUAGUUAUGGCUCUGUCUACAAAGGAAUCCUUGAUCCAAAUGAAACCAUUGUUGCAGUCAAAGUACUAAACCUCCAACGUCAGGGAGCUUCCAAAAGUUUCAUGGCCGAGUGUGAAGCCUUGAGAAAUAUCAGACAUCGGAAUUUGGUAAAGGUCAUAACUUCUUGCUCGAGCAUUGAUUUUCAAGGAAAUGAUUUUAAGGCUCUAGUCUAUGAAUUCAUGAUCAAUGGGAGUCUAGAGAGUUGGUUGUAUCCAAGUCCGAAAUCUACUAAUGGAGAGAAUGACCAAACUCAGAGCCUAAACCUUCUUCAAAGAAUUAAUGUUGCAGUUGAUGUGUUGUCUGCACUAGAGUAUCUUCACCAUCAUUGUGAAACGCCAAUAAUUCAUUGCGAUCUAAAGCCAAGCAAUGUCCUACUUGAUAGCGACAUGGUUGCUCAUGUAGGAGAUUUUGGAUUAGCAAGGUUUCUUCAACAACUCACAAAUCCAAAUCAGAGCAGUUCAAUUGCAGUAAGGGGAACUGUUGGUUAUGCAGCUCCAGAGUAUGGAUUGGGAAGCAAAGUGUCAACAAAAGGGGAUGUAUACAGUUAUGGGAUCUUGGUAUUGGAGAUGAUGACAAGGAAAAGGCCUACUGACAGUAUGUUUGAGGGAGGUCUUAACAUUCAUAACUUUGCUAGGAUGGCUUUGCCUGACCGUGUUAUGGAGAUUGUAGACCCAAUACUACUGAACAUUGAUGAUGAAGAAGAGGUAGCAGCACUGUCAAAUAGAAAUCGAGAUCCUGAAGGAUUAAAAAAUGACAUCCGAAUGGAGUGUCUGUUGUCAAUGAUCAAGAUCGGAGUAGCAUGCUCCAUGGAGUCACCACAAGACCGGAUGGACAUUAACGACGUCUUGCGUGAGCUGAAUUUGGUCAGGAAAAAUCUUCAAGGCACUCAGAACAAGUCCUGAUGCAUAAUGGGUUUCAUCGACAAAUUAAGUUGCCCUGGAUUGCUUUUCUUCGGAAUGUUAAGAAUACCAACAGGUUCAAGCUCACGGACUCUGCUUCAACUAGAAGGCUUCCGUUUUGGUCCAGUCAUUGUUUCUCUGGUGCUAUAAGGACUUAUGCACUUGAAGAGUUGAAGUCGGCAACAAGGGACUUUAGGAUUCGAAUAGGCGUUGGAGCCACAUCCGUUGCGUAUCUUGUAGAGCUUGGUCAUGGGCAAUUUGGUGCCGUGAAGCGGGUUAUGGAGGAGAAAGGUGGCAGCAAGAAGAUGUUCUUGGAUGAAGUUUCAGUUCUUCUUAGGAUUUCACACCCAAAUUUGGUUGGGUUGUUGGGUUUCUGCUUGGAUAAAGGUAAAUCAUCCAUAUAUAAUCCAUUCUAUAUAAGUAAUCUUUGCAAGAUCAUAAAUACAUGUGUAUUUGUAUAAAACAUAUGAUAUAUUAUUAUACCAAAUGUUUGAAUUAAUUCUUUAAGCCAUUUUAUUUUCUCCCUAAUUUAGGUACAUCAUUGUACCAAGGAAGGAUUUUUUUUUUUCAGAAAUUUUUUAAUAUUUUUUUUCAGAAAUUUUUUACUUGUGCUUCACUUGCAAUCCAAUUUUUUAAUCUUAAACAUUCUUUAACGAUGUCUUGCAUGAGCUGAAUUUGGUCAGGAAAAAUCUUCAAGGCGCUGGAACAAGUCUCGAUGCAUAAUGGUAAGAGCCAAAACUCAAACUUAAAUGCCUGUUAUUAUCAAGUCCUCGUUCUAUAUUUGAUUUAAAAAUUUUGUUCCAAAAUAGAGCUUUGUGCAUUGGUUAUCAGAUUGGGGUAGGUUUCAAAUGCCCACUUUCAUUUACCAAACCGCUGUUCUCUUUCCUUUUCAGAUGAAGAAUCGUUAUCCCACCUAGUCUUGAAAUGUUCAUUCUCUACCUUCAUUUAGAACCAUAUACAAUUCAUUUGUUGCUUUGGGUCUCUGAUCAUUUGAAUCCCAAUAUAAGUUUGAAGGUUUUAAUCAACAAAUUAAGUGGCCCUGGCUUGCUGUGUCUUUUCAAUUUGCCCUUCUACUUUUCUUUGGAAUGUUAAGAAUACUGAAUACCAACACAUUCAAGCUCAUAUCUCUAAAACUCAAGGAAUCUGCAUCAACUAGAAGGCUUGCAUCUAACCAGCUAGUUCAUUCAUCUUCAUUGUGAAACAGGUUAAGCUCAUCUUUUGGUCUGGCUGCUGUUUAAUUCUUAAGUUCUUGUUGUAGUAGUAAGUUAAUUGCUGCUUGGUUUGUGGUUCUGCUGGUGUUGUAAGAUUUAAGAAAUUUCUGUAUUGUAUGUAUCAUUGUUUGCUUCUGCUUUGGCUGCUCUAGUUUGGAUUCCAUUGUUUCAUGGAGUAGUUUUGUCUAGUUUUCCAGAGCCAUUCUUGUUGGUUGGACUUUUGUCCCCAGGGUAUACCCUGCUGCUUUGUAUUCAUUCUUCUAUUCUAUAUAAAUUUACACUCAAGGGGGAUAUAUAUAUAUAUAUAUAUCAAGGUGGAACUACCAAACCAUGGCUUUAUAGGUUAAUGGAACAUACAACUAGACCUUAAUCAGUCUGAAAACUAAUUGAAAAUUAAUGGUUUUGGAACUUCCAAAAAAGUGAAUCACGAAGAAUGUUUAAUGGAUCCUACCAUGUGUUUAGCUCUGGCUAUGGUAUGGGUGAACCGUGAAUCUUUAUCAAGAUAGAUUAAACAUUUUAGGGGUCUUAAAAAGAAAAUAUUAAUCUCUCUACAUACAUGUGUGUGUAUUCUGGAGUGGAUAAAAUCGAAGAUAGAAACAUAAUUGUAACCCUUGUGUACAUUUUAUUCCCAUGCAUAAGACAAAUUUCAGCUAUCUAAGUAUCUAAUGCUAAAUUUCAAACCAAAGGAUCUUUGGAACACAUGCACCAACUUAAUUCUCUCAUCUAUCCUUCUAAACCUUCCCCCUUCAACUUCUCUCUCUCUGAGUACAAGGCAUAUAUGAGAGUGAAGAACAGAAAACAGAACAACACCAUGUGGGUCCUUGGAUUCUCCACCACAAAUCCAAGAAACACAUGCACCAACUUAAUUCUAUCAUCUAUCUUUCUAAGGACUUGUGCACUUGAAGAGCUGAAGACGGCUAUGAGGGACUUGGCAAUGGACAAUUUGGUGGGGUGAAGAAUGUUUAAGAUGUUCUUGGAUGAAGUUUCGAUUCUCCUUAGGAUUUAACAGCCAAAUUUGGGGACUAUUUUUUUUUUUUUUUACCUGCUGGUAGCUUAUGAGAAAAGCUUAUACUUCAGAAAUUAGUUUGGAGAUGAUGUUUUGCUUAUUGACAAAGUAGACUAAAAUUCCAAUAGCCAAUGAGCUUGGAUUUGGUCUUAGUUGUAGAAUGUCUCUUUUGUUGUAGAUUUACUUUGACAAUUUUUUUUUUUUUUUUUUUAAAUUUAUUUAUUUUGACAAAUACUUCUACAAUGCAUUUGGGAUAUUUGGACCCUCAAUAUUCCGCUUAGACAUUAACAAAUUUGCUUUGAUUAAGUAAUACCUAAUUGUACCUCCUACAUUAGAUAUAUAGAUGAUGCAGAAAAUGUGCAUGGUGUAGAGACAGUAGAGGCAAGUAGUGGGGGAUACACAAGAUAUAAAUGUAACAAGACAAGUUGUUUACGGUGAUAAAAAUAAAGAAGUGAAACUAUCUGAGUUGGAUGAUAUUGUAUUCCCCACUGAUAAUUAAGCUUAUAAAAUAAAAAUAGUAAUUAAAAAAACUCAUUCAAAUGUAUGUGUUUUGUGUAUUAAAAGAUGCUGAAUCUCACAAUCGUUUAUUUCAUCAAUGUGAGUAUUUUCAGGUAAUCUGGUCAGCACUUCAACAUAAGUAUGGGUUCCAUACGAACCCUAGAAAUUGGCACAAGUUCCUCAUUUGGGCCUCAUCCAAUUGGAAACAGAAGAAAAAGUCGAAUAAAAUUCUUGUUGGGAAACUUACCUUGGCCAGUUUUGUGUAUCACGUCUGUAAAGUAAAGAAAAUGCUAGGGUUUUCUCCAGUUCUUGUAGCCAUCAUUCAAAAAUCCUCAGCGACUCUGUUCUCAAUCACUUUUUCUCUGUCCUCAACCUGGAACUCGACAGUCCUUGCUCUGCAAAUUUGAGAUUGUGGUGUUCCCUGUUGAUUCUCCCGCCUUUGUGGGUCUAGCUUGGGUCACCAUUCGGACCUAACGUAGGAUUGCCCAAUGGGCCUUGUUUCGUCUCUUUGGGCUUUUGUUUGUUGGUUGGGUUUUGAUUGUUUCUCUUGACAUAUCCCCUCUUGUCCGUUUUUAUCUUGAUAAAAGAAAAGAAAAAUCCUCACAUCGAUGUAAUAUCCUUUAUUAUUGAAGUACACUCAUUAAAAUAAAUCGAACCACGUUGAAAUUUGAGAAUAACCCCAUCAACUAUAUCAUAUACACAAUACUUUUUAAACUUUUUUAUUUUGUUACAAAAUGCUCCCAUGCCUCUCAUUAAAUAUGUAAUGUCUGUUUCUAUAUAUAUAUGUGCAUAUGUGUAUAUUUGUGUGUGUGUGGUGUAAUUUAAAACAAAAAGAAAAAGGAAAAUAAAAAGGAAAAUGGGUGGGACCCACAUGCACUUAAAAUGGUCAUGACACCACUUUUUGUUCCGAAUUUUAUUUCAUUUUCCCGUAAGCUUUUCUCUCUCGUUCCAGAAGCUCUCUGUUUUUUUUUCUUUUUUUUUUUGUUUCAAUCUUCAAGGCUUGAUUGCUCCCUCAUCUCUUAGUAUUUUUAAGUGUCGUUUGAGGCAAAACGAAGCCCACGACGAGCUCUACGCAUCUAUACCAUCAAUUUCAGUUUUUGUGCACCCUUUGGAUUUCGAAAUUCAAGACCUACUUUUAAGGGUUUUGUGCAAAUUUGAGGUAUGGACUCUUAAUCCACAAGUUUCUUGCUCCUAUGUGAAUUACAUCUUCUAAUUUGAUGCUAGACAUGUUUACUUAUGCUAGUUGUAGUUUAAAGAAAUUAUAGCAUGUGUAUGUGGUUAUGUGAGAACUUGUUUUAAAUGUUUUAUGUGGAAAUUCUUGCUUAUGUGAUGAUUUAUAUAUGUUCGUUGUGCUAGAUGCAUUGUUGUACAAGAGCAUGUUAUAAUCCCUUGAGAAAUUCUUGCGAAAUUAUGUCUUACUUACUUAAAUAGAGUUGAAUGUGAAAUGAUGAUUAAAUUCAUGGUAUUGAUGCACUCAUGCACUUAAAUUGGGCAUGAAACGGGAAGAAUGAGUUUGAAAUGAAAAAUGAGAUUUUGGGAAAAAUGAUUUGAUGAAACGGUUUUGAAAAACCCGGUCGCCGCGGGGAUACCAAAGGUCCGGAGUGUUAAUAUAGCCUAGAGGGGACUAAUAAGUCGCCCUAGCGUGGUUGAGCUAGCUGGGCCCCAUAAUGACGCCGCGGGGGUACCAAGGGUCAGGGACACUAACCAAUCCUCCUCUCGUGUCGCUGCGGGGUCACCAAAGGGCGGGUUAUAUUAACAGUUUGAAAGUGAUGUUUGAGAACAGAAAAUAAGGAGUGACAUUGGCAUGCAUUUGCAUUUCAUGGCAUCGUGUAGGUUGUACUUGAGUUUGGUUGGAAUGUUGUAUUAUUUCCCGACAUUGUAUGAUCCUCAUUUCCUAUUGGCCUAUUCUUUGUAUGGAUUCACAGGGACACAAGAAAAGUGUCUUAAGCAUCACUUACUGAGCAUAUUUGUUCACCCUACUAUUUAUAUUAUUUUUUUCAGGUCUUGGAAAUGAACCGGUGGACGACAAUCCACCUCAAGCUUAAAAGUUGUUAGAAGGUUGUUUGUUAUUUUGUAUUUUGACCAUUCUAUGUAUACUCAUAGUUGUGGAAAUGUAACUAAGUUAGUAUUCAUGGCCUUGUAACUUAAGAAUAAAUUUAUCUUUUGUUUGAUGUAAAUGAAAUUAAUGGAAUUGUGGUA